This 401-nucleotide ribosomal RNA is filed under the name uncultured bacterium. Its description in RNAcentral is "bacterial SSU rRNA". It matches the Rfam family "Bacterial small subunit ribosomal RNA", at positions 28 to 422 of the family's 1533-position model. The record is from RNAcentral.
GAUGAACGCUAGCGGCAGGCUUAAUACAUGCAAGUCGUGGGGCAGCAUGAGUGUAGCAAUACAUUUGAUGGCGACCGGCAAACGGGUGCGGAACACGUACACAACCUUCCUUCAAGUGGGGAAUAGCCCAGGGAAACUUGGAUUAAUACCCCGUAAUAUUAUGGAGUGGCAUCACUUUAUAAUUAUAGCUCCGGCGCUUGAUGAUGGGUGUGCGCCUGAUAGGUAGUUGGCGGGGUAACGGCCCACCAAGCCUUCGAUCAGUAACUGGUGUGAGAGCACGACCAGUCACACGGGCACUGAGACACGGGCCCGACUCCUACGGGAGGCAGCAGUAAGGAAUAUUGGUCAAUGGACGCAAGUCUGAACCAGCCAUGCCGCGUGGAGGAUGAAGGUCCUCUGGA